Molecule: ribosomal RNA, 500 nt
Filed under: uncultured Glomeromycotina
Lineage: Eukaryota; Fungi; Glomeromycota
Description: partial small subunit ribosomal RNA
Rfam family: Eukaryotic small subunit ribosomal RNA
Source: RNAcentral
CCAAUAGCGUAUAUUAAAGUUGUUGCAGUUAAAAAGCUCGUAGUUGAAUUUCGAGAUCAAUAUAUUGGUCGUGCCUCCGGUACGUACUGGUAUCGUUGAUUUCUACCUUCUGACGAACCAUGAUGUCAUUAAUUUGGUGUCAUGGGAAAUCAGGACUGUUACUUUGAAAAAAUUAGAGUGUUUAAAGCAGGCACACGCUUGAAUACAUUAGCAUGGAAUAAUGAAAUAGGACGUUUGACCCUAUUUUGUUGGUUUUUAGGAUCGACGUAAUGAUUAAUAGGGAUAGUUGGGGGCAUUAGUAGUCAAUUGUCAGAGGUGAAAUUCUUGGAUUUAUUGAAGACUAACUACUGCGAAAGCAUUUGCCAAGGAUGUUUUCAUUAAUCAAGAACGAAAGUUAGGGGAUCGAAGACGAUCAGAUACCGUCGUAGUCUUAACCAUAAACUAUGCCGACUAGGGAUCGGAUGAUGUUAAUUUUUUAAUGACUCAUUCGGCGCCUUACG